AGAGUUUGAUCAUGGCUCAGGACGAACGCUGGCGGCGUGCCUAAUACAUGCAAGUCGAGCGGACGUUUUUGAAGCUUGCUUCAAAAACGUUAGCGGCGGACGGGUGAGUAACACGUGGGCAACCUGCCUUAUCGACUGGGAUAACUCCGGGAAACCGGGGCUAAUACCGGAUAACAUCUAGCACCUCCUGGUGCAAGAUUAAAAGAGGGCCUUCGGGCUCUCACGGUGAGAUGGGCCCGCGGCGCAUUAGCUAGUUGGAGAGGUAAUGGCUCCCCAAGGCGACGAUGCGUAGCCGACCUGAGAGGGUGAUCGGCCACACUGGGACUGAGACACGGCCCAGACUCCUACGGGAGGCAGCAGUAGGGAAUCUUCCGCAAUGGACGAAAGUCUGACGGAGCAACGCCGCGUGAGUGAUGAAGGGUUUCGGCUCGUAAAGCUCUGUUAUGAGGGAAGAACACGUACCGUUCGAAUAGGGCGGUACCUUGACGGUACCUCAUCAGAAAGCCACGGCUAACUACGUGCCAGCAGCCGCGGUA
This 536-nucleotide ribosomal RNA is filed under the name uncultured Bacillota bacterium. Its description in RNAcentral is "bacterial SSU rRNA". It matches the Rfam family "Bacterial small subunit ribosomal RNA", at positions 8 to 522 of the family's 1533-position model. The record is from RNAcentral. Lineage: Bacteria; Bacillati; Bacillota.